UACGGAGGGUGCAAGCGUUAUCCGGAUUUACUGGGUUUAAAGGGUGUGUAGGCGGGCUUUUAAGUCAGGGGUGAAAUCUCCGGGCUCAACCCGGAAACUGCCAUUGAUACUAUUAGUCUUGAAUUUUGUUGAGGUAGGCGGAAUAAGUCAUGUAGCGGUGAAAUGCUUAGAUAUGACUUAGAACACCAAUUGCGAAGGCAGCUUGCUAAACAAACAUUGACGCUGAGGCACGAAAGCGUGGGGAUCAAACAGG
Molecule: ribosomal RNA, 253 nt
Filed under: uncultured bacterium
Lineage: Bacteria
Description: partial 16S ribosomal RNA
Rfam family: Bacterial small subunit ribosomal RNA
Source: RNAcentral